This 496-nucleotide ribosomal RNA is filed under the name uncultured bacterium. RNAcentral's name for it is "partial 16S ribosomal RNA". It matches the Rfam family "Bacterial small subunit ribosomal RNA", at positions 29 to 507 of the family's 1533-position model. The record is from RNAcentral.
AUGAACGCUGGCGGCGUGCCUCAUACAUGCAAGUCGAGCGAACAGACGAGGAGCUUGCUCCUCUGACGUUAGCGGCGGACGGGUGAGUAACACGUGGAUAACCUUCCUAUAAGACUGGGAUAACUUCGGGAAACCGGAGCUAAUACCGGAUAAUAUAUUGAACCGCAUGGUUCAAUAGUGAAAGACGGUUUUGCUGUCACUUAUAGAUGGAUCCGCGCCGCAUUAGCUAGUUGGUAAGGUAACGGCUUACCAAGGCGACGAUGCGUAGCCGACCUGAGAGGGUGAUCGGCCACACUGGAACUGAGACACGGUCCAGACUCCUACGGGAGGCAGCAGUAGGGAAUCUUCCGCAAUGGGCGAAAGCCUGACGGAGCAACGCCGCGUGAGUGAUGAAGGUCUUCGGAUCGUAAAACUCUGUUAUUAGGGAAGAACAAAUGUGUAAGUAACUAUGCACGUCUUGACGGUACCUAAUCAGAAAGCCACGGCUAACUACGUG